RNAcentral lists this ribosomal RNA (440 nucleotides) under uncultured bacterium. RNAcentral's name for it is "partial 16S ribosomal RNA". It matches the Rfam family "Bacterial small subunit ribosomal RNA", at positions 338 to 795 of the family's 1533-position model. The record is from RNAcentral.
CCUACGGGUGGCAGCAGUAGGGAAUAUUGCUCAAUGGGGGAAACCCUGAAGCAGCAACGCCGCGUGGAGGAUGAAGGUUUUCGGAUUGUAAACUCCUUUUGGUAGAGAAGAUAAUGACGGUACCUAACGAAUAAGCACCGGCUAACUCCGUGCCAGCAGCCGCGGUAAUACGGAGGGUGCAAGCGUUACUCGGAAUCACUGGGCGUAAAGAGUGCGUAGGCGGGAUAGCAAGUCAGAUGUGAAAUCCUAUGGCUUAACCAUAGAACUGCAUUUGAAACUGUGAUUCUAGAGUAUGGGAGAGGAAGGUGGAAUUCUUGGUGUAGGGGUAAAAUGCGUAGAGAUCAGGAGGAAUACUCAUUGCGAAGGCGAUCUGCUGGAACAUAACUGACGCUGAUGCGCGAAAGCGUGGGGAGCAAACAGGAUUAGAUACCCGAGUAGUC